RNAcentral lists this unclassified non-coding RNA (421 nucleotides) under Dendropanax bahiensis. RNAcentral's name for it is "partial may contain external transcribed spacer and partial 18S ribosomal RNA gene". The record is from RNAcentral. Lineage: Eukaryota; Viridiplantae; Streptophyta; Magnoliopsida; Apiales; Araliaceae.
UGGAUUGGUCGGAUCCCUGCUCGUGCAGCGACGGCCACUCUUACAACCCUUUUCAUUCGUGCUACAAAGGCGAUAUGCCUUGGACCAAUUCGGUUGCCUGUGUUGUAUACCUACGUUGAUGGAAUUCACUCGUCCAAUCGCCCCUUAUUCACCUUGCGCUGUUUAUACGGUGCGGGAUGAACCUUGCAGUGUCCUUUGUUGUCCUUUCUUGCCUCGUGUUUCGCCUGACGCACGAAAUGGCCAAUGUCGUGACACUCGAUUUCUCGGAUACAGAACCUUAAGCGGGCAACUGGUCUUUGGCCUUGAUUUGCCUAAAUUGAGCGUUCUCGCUUCUUACGAACGACUGUUGUGCCCGUUUUGACCUGAGGAUACUUUCGGUCCGACUGGCUCAUGCGGUGCCGACGUCGAGAAGGAAUGCUAC